GAACGCAUAUUGCGCUCUCUGGUAUUCCGGAGAGCAUGCUUGUUUGAGUAUCAGUAAACACCUCAACUCCCCUUUCUUUUUUUGAAAUGGGAGCUGGACUUGAGUGAUCCCAACGCUUUUCUCACCGAAAAGUGGCGGGUUACUUGAAAUGCAGGUGCAGCUGGACUUUUUUCUGAGCUAAAAGCAUAUCUAUUUAGUCUGCCUAAAAAACAGAUUAUUACCUUUGCUGCAGCUAACAUAAAGGGAGUUUUGACCAUUAUGGCUGACUGAUGCAGGAUUUCACAGAGAAAAGGCCGGCAACGGUUUUGUCUCUGUCAAACUCGAUCUCAAAUCAAGUAAGACUACCCGCUGAACUUAAG
This 359-nucleotide unclassified non-coding RNA is filed under the name uncultured fungus. Its description in RNAcentral is "sequence contains 5.8S rRNA gene". The stretch from base 1 to 53 matches the Rfam family "5.8S ribosomal RNA", at positions 102 to 154 of the family's 154-position model. The record is from RNAcentral. Lineage: Eukaryota; Fungi.